GACGAACGCUGGCGGCGUGCUUAACACAUGCAAGUCGAACGGAAAGGCCCUGCUUUUGUGGGGUGCUCGAGUGGCGAACGGGUGAGUAACACGUGAGUAACCUGCCCUUGACUUUGGGAUAACUUCAGGAAACUGGGGCUAAUACCGGAUAGGAGCUCCUGCUGCAUGGUGGGGGUUGGAAAGUUUCGGCGGUUGGGGCUGGACUCGCGGCUUAUCAGCUUGCUGGUGGGGUAGUGGCUUACCAAGGCUUUGACGGGUAGCCGGCCUGAGAGGGUGACCGGCCACAUGGGGACUGCGAUACGGCCCAGACUCCUAUGGGAGGCAGUAGUGGGGAAUAUUGCACAAUGGGCGGAAGCCUGAUGCAGAAACGCCGCGUGCGGGAUGACGGCCUUCGGGUUGUAAACCGCUUUCGCCUGUGACGAAGCGUGAGUGACGGUAAUGGGUAAAGAAGCACCGGCUAACUACGUG
RNAcentral lists this ribosomal RNA (468 nucleotides) under uncultured bacterium. RNAcentral's name for it is "partial 16S ribosomal RNA". It matches the Rfam family "Bacterial small subunit ribosomal RNA", at positions 28 to 507 of the family's 1533-position model. The record is from RNAcentral.